AAGGAAGGAAAGAAGGAAGGAAGAGAGAAAGAGAGAGAGAGAAAGAAAGAAAGAAAGGAAGGAAGGAAGAGAGAAAGAGAGAGAGAGAAAGAAAGAAAGAAAGAAGGAAAAAGAAAAAAAGGGAGGAAUAAAGAAAGAAAGAAGGAAGGAAUAAAGAAAGAAAAAG
RNAcentral lists this long non-coding RNA (166 nucleotides) under Monodelphis domestica (gray short-tailed opossum). RNAcentral describes it as "lncRNA (ENSMODG00000040712.1)". The record is from RNAcentral. Lineage: Eukaryota; Metazoa; Chordata; Mammalia; Didelphimorphia; Didelphidae.